This 400-nucleotide ribosomal RNA is filed under the name uncultured bacterium. RNAcentral describes it as "bacterial SSU rRNA". It matches the Rfam family "Bacterial small subunit ribosomal RNA", at positions 355 to 747 of the family's 1533-position model. The record is from RNAcentral.
UGAGGAAUAUUGCGCAAUGGGCGAAAGCCUGACGCAGCGACGCCGCGUGGAGGAUGAAGGUCUUAGGAUUGUAAACUUCUGUUAAGUGGGAAGAAAUGCCCGUGAGUAAUAUGCUCGGGAGAUGACUGUACCAUUAGAGAAAGCACCGGCUAACUUCGUGCCAGCAGCCGCGGUAAUACGAAGGGUGCAAGCGUUAUUCGGAUUUAUUGGGCGUAAAGGGUGCGUAGGCGGCAUAUUAAGUCAAUUGUUAAAUUCUUCGGCCUAACCGAAGGUCAGCAGUAGAUACUGAUAUGCUAGAGGAUGGAAGAGAGAAGUGGAAUUCUUGGAGUAGCGGUAAAAUGCGUAGAUCUCAAGAGGAACACCGAUGGCGAAGGCAGCUUCUUGGUCCAUAUCUGACGCU